RNAcentral lists this ribosomal RNA (463 nucleotides) under uncultured Fusibacter sp. RNAcentral describes it as "bacterial SSU rRNA". It matches the Rfam family "Bacterial small subunit ribosomal RNA", at positions 925 to 1382 of the family's 1533-position model. The record is from RNAcentral. Lineage: Bacteria; Bacillati; Bacillota; Clostridia; Eubacteriales; Fusibacteraceae.
ACAAGCAGCGGAGCGAUGUGGUUUAAUUCGAAGCAAACGCGAAGAACCUUACCACGAUCUUGACAUCCAAUUGACCAUCUUUUAAUCGUAGAUUUUGCCUUCGGGUACGAAUUGAGACAGGUGGUGCAUGGUUGUGUCAGCUCGUGUCGUGAGAUGUUGGGUUAAGUCCCGCAACGAGCGCAACCUUGUGUUUAGUUGCAAACAGGUCAAGCUGUGCACUCUAGACAGACUGCCGUGGACAACACGGAGGAAGGUGGGGAUGACGUCAAAUCAUCAUGCCCCUUAUGAUCUGGGCUACACACGUGCUACAAUGGCCGGUACAACGGGCAGCGAAGGAGCGAUCCGGAGCGAAUCCUAAAAAGCCGGUCCCAGUUCGGAUUGCAGGCUGAAACUCGCCUACAUGAAGUUGGAGUUGCUAGUAAUCGCGAAUCAGAAUGUCGCGGUGAAUGCGUUCCCGGGUCUU